Molecule: unclassified non-coding RNA, 344 nt
Filed under: Hevea brasiliensis (rubber tree)
Lineage: Eukaryota; Viridiplantae; Streptophyta; Magnoliopsida; Malpighiales; Euphorbiaceae
Source: RNAcentral
GGGCUUUAGAAAGAUGAGCAUUACAAAGCUUCCAUCGAAAAAAAUAAGGAAGUGAAAUGAGAGAGAGGCAAAUAGAGACCCACCAAUCCGUUCUUGAAAAUUCAGUGGACAGCAUCAUUUCAAAAUAAUUGAAAGUGUUAAAGGAUAUAACUUAAUGACUUUAUAUUUAAUGACCUUAAUCACUUUCGAGUGGAUGCAUCAAAAAUUUGCUCAUAUCUAAUUCUGUGACAGUUGGCUUCAAUAAUUACUAUUCUUUAACUAACAAAUCCAUACUAGAUUUAUUGCAACUCAAAUAUGCAAUAACAUGUGUCUAGCUAUCCCAUUGACUAGAGCAAAAUAAAAUA